Molecule: long non-coding RNA, 288 nt
Filed under: Setaria viridis
Lineage: Eukaryota; Viridiplantae; Streptophyta; Magnoliopsida; Poales; Poaceae
Description: long non-coding RNA (SVIR_LNC004526)
Source: RNAcentral
CACCUUCAACCAAGAAGAAUUUGAUGGAACUCUCAACGGCCCAUGCCCCUUCCACAAGGACGCACGACAUACUCUACGAGAUUGCAUAGGCCUAAAGAAAGAUCUCGACGUUCCGGUGCAAUAUAAGUGACCACACAACAAUGACUACCGCCAGGAUAACAACAAGCGUUUAUCAUAACCGUGAAGAUGGCUGAUGCCAAAACGACCAUGACAACUACAACAAUGGUGACCAUGAUGACCACAAUGGCCGCCACCGCGACAACCACAACAACGGUAGGCGGGAUGACC